Molecule: long non-coding RNA, 467 nt
Organism: Mus musculus (house mouse)
Lineage: Eukaryota; Metazoa; Chordata; Mammalia; Rodentia; Muridae
Product: predicted gene, 41102
Exons: 2
Source: RefSeq, a predicted model, not a curated record
GGGAUCUUGGGGGUGUCCACCGACUCCGUGCCCAAGGUGACCUGGACUAUCCUUCAGCUUCUUGCAAGAGGCUAACACCACAGAAAGUCUUGUAAAUGAUCACAGAAAUGAACUACUGGUAGCAUUGAUCUUCCCAGACUGAUAACUGCUGAAAUCCAGGUCACGGCUCACCUCACCAAACUCAAAGCAAGGAGUGAGGAGAGGGAGACUCUAGACAGCCAUUGGACUACAACCAUCGGCUCUGAAAUAAUGAGAAACUAUUGUAAGCAGACAGAUGCCUUGAUGUCUCUGAGAAGUUGCAAAAGAGACAGCUGUUUAUGAAGAUAGAAGGCAGACCGCCUGUCAAGCUGACAUGGAAUGAAGAGCUACAGUUCCAUCUUCAUUACAUCCUGAAAUUGAGCUCCAUCUUCAAAUUGAUGCCUCAGAAUCCAUAGGAGCCAUCAAGCAAAGAAAUACACCCUGACAGG